RNAcentral lists this ribosomal RNA (630 nucleotides) under Desulfovibrio sp. STP9. RNAcentral describes it as "bacterial SSU rRNA". It matches the Rfam family "Bacterial small subunit ribosomal RNA", at positions 378 to 1002 of the family's 1533-position model. Lineage: Bacteria; Pseudomonadati; Thermodesulfobacteriota; Desulfovibrionia; Desulfovibrionales; Desulfovibrionaceae. The record is from RNAcentral.
AAAGCCUGACGCAGCGACGCCGCGUGAGGGAUGAAGGUUCUCGGAUCGUAAACCUCUGUCAGAAGGGAAGAAAAACCAGAGGAGUAACUGCCUUUGGCCUGACGGUACCUUCAAAGGAAGCACCGGCUAACUCCGUGCCAGCAGCCGCGGUAAUACGGAGGGUGCAAGCGUUAAUCGGAAUCACUGGGCGUAAAGCGCACGUAGGCGGCUUUGUAAGUCAGCGGUGCAAGCCCUUCGCUCAACGAAGGAAUUGCCGUUGAUACUGCUUAGCUUGAGUUUGUGAGAGGAUAGUGGAAUUCCAGGUGUAGGAGUGAAAUCCGUAGAGAUCUGGAGGAACAUCAGUGGCGAAGGCGACUAUCUGGCACAAUACUGACGCUGAGGUGCGAAAGCGUGGGGAUCAAACAGGAUUAGAUACCCUGGUAGUCCACGCUGUAAACGAUGGAUACUAGGUGCUGGAGGCUUGACUUUCAGUGCCGUAGCUAACGCGUUAAGUAUCCCGCCUGGGGAGUACGGUCGCAAGGCUGAAACUCAAAGAAAUUGACGGGGGCCCGCACAAGCGGUGGAGUAUGUGGUUUAAUUCGAUGCAACGCGAAAUACCUUACCUAGGCUUGACAUCCGGAGAAUCCCUCC